This 292-nucleotide ribosomal RNA is filed under the name uncultured bacterium. RNAcentral's name for it is "partial 16S ribosomal RNA". It matches the Rfam family "Bacterial small subunit ribosomal RNA", at positions 505 to 796 of the family's 1533-position model. The record is from RNAcentral.
GUGCCAGCAGCCGCGGUAACACGGGGGGAGCAAACGUUGUUCGGAAUCACUGGGCGUAAAGGGCGCGUAGGCGGCCUCGUAAGUGGUGUGUGAAAUGUCCUGGCUCAACCAGGGAAUUGCGCUCCAAACUGCGGGGCUCGAGGGCAGUAGAGGAAGCUGGAAUUCCAGGUGUAGCGGUGAAAUGCGUAGAUAUCUGGAGGAACACCGUUGGCGAAGGCGAGCUUCUGGGCUGUUCCUGACGCUGAUGCGCGAAAGCUGGGGGAGCAAACAGGAUUAGAUACCCUGGUAGUCC